CAGUAGCCGCGGUAAUACGGAGGGGGCUAGCGUUGUUCGGAAUUACUGGGCGUAAAGCGCACGUAGGCGGCUUUGUAAGUUAGAGGUGAAAGCCCGGAGCUCAACUCCGGAAUUGCCUUUAAGACUGCAGAGCUAGCAGGUGAGAGAGGUGAGUGGAAUUCCGAGUGUAGAGGUGAAAUUCGUAGAUAUUCGGAAGAACACCAGUGGCGAAGGCGGCUUACUGGCUCAUACUGGACGCUGAGGUGCGAAAGCGUGGGGAGCAAACAGGAUUAGAUACCCCCGUAGUCCCUGUCUCUUAUAC
RNAcentral lists this ribosomal RNA (301 nucleotides) under uncultured bacterium. Its description in RNAcentral is "partial 16S ribosomal RNA". It matches the Rfam family "Bacterial small subunit ribosomal RNA", at positions 509 to 807 of the family's 1533-position model. The record is from RNAcentral.